GGUUUGGCACAGCCUUAAAGGAGUCUCUUUAAAAGCUUCCAGAGCCGAUUAUAUUUUGGAUUGUGUUUCAAAUCACCCUUCCCCCCCAGGUUUGGUGGGUCCUCAGACAAGUUCCCAGAAUAAAUUAGACAUAACGGUAGCAGGAUUUUUUUUUUUUUUUUUUUUUUUUUUUCUUACUUGAGAAGAAGGAAGGAAUAAGUGACACCAAUUUCUGUAAUGGAAAGAAAAAAGAAAAAAGUGUGUAUCGGAAACUGCUGCUGAGUGACUCAUGCUGCCAGACAAACGGAACCUCACUCAUCACUCCAUCUUCAUCCUCCUCUGGUUACUUCUCCUUCCAUCCGGAGAUGCCUUGAGUUCGACUGUGCAUGGUGUGAAAACAGCCAUGAAGAGUGCCGUUCACGGUCUCCAGCUCAGGCUUGCACAUCACACUAUCUGCAGAGCUGGAGGAGCUCCUGGGACACUGGGUAGGAGUGGUGGAAAGAGCAGAGAGUGGCCUGGGACAGCAGUCUGGGGUGGCCAAAAGCCAUCCAAGGGUGUAGGAAAACAGCACUGGGCCACUCUGCCUAAGCCACGCCUUAGGGUACACACAGAUAUGAUAAGAGAUGUCGCUGGUGGCAGCAGCUGCAAGUCCCUGACCUAAGUGGACCCUGUGGAGCUCGUCUUGUGCUCCUUCCCUCCUUUUCUGUAUCUUUCCCUGGGCUUCACAGCCCAUGACUCCAGAGCCAGCUGCUGUCCCUGUCCCUGUCCCUGAGAUGCUCUGCGCACAGAUGAGAGAGUGGCCAGCCCUGCUCCUGGACCCAAACGCCCAAGGGCAGAGCAGGGAGAAGGGCUGCAUUUCCCA
This is a long non-coding RNA of Motacilla alba alba, 841 nucleotides long. RefSeq lists it as uncharacterized. The record is from RefSeq and is a predicted model, not a curated record. The transcript has 3 exons. Lineage: Eukaryota; Metazoa; Chordata; Aves; Passeriformes; Motacillidae.